GAUGGAAUUUCCUGCUUCAAUACCAAAUAACAUAAUUUGCUAAUUGGUGUGCAAAUGUAAAUUUUGUAUUGUUUGAGGUGUAUGAUUUCUGUGCUGAUUUCUUGUCAUAAUGUUGGUUUUGUUAGAAUGUCAAAUUUAUUUUUGAUACUGCAAUCAAAGGUGUUCUCCAACCUCCAAGGAAAAGGGAGAUUUUUAAUAAGAAGAAGAGUUCUGGUUGCUUGAUGAUAAAGGCGUAUACACACUUUUCCUUUGACUACUCAACAAAUUUGGCUAUCUCCAGAUUGAAGCUCUGAAGGAGGUAGGGGUAACUGAAGUUGUUUUAGCGAUAAACUACCAGUCAGAGGUAAAAUGGAAAAAGUAAAGUUUGUUUGUAUUCUUAAACUUCUCGAAAUUAUUGGCUGAUAUUUCUGUUAUCUGAUACUACUUUUUUACUGCUAAACCAACUAUGAUGUGAACUGAUGCUGGCGUGGGAGGUCCAACUGAAUGCAGUUGUGUGAUGGCUGCAGAUAUUUUUGAUGGCUGCAGGCAUCUCCUAACAACAGAUUUCAAAAAUCUGCCGUGGUCUGUGGGGCUGUGAGGCUUAACAUUUCUUUGCUUGCAACUUUUUCUUACCUCAGCACGCGUAGAGGUUUAUGCCUCAAGGUUAAUCAAGCAAGGAUUUAGGGUUGAACAAGUGAUUGGUAGUCGAGGGACUGACGAAGAGAGAGCUGGAUCACAUGAGCUAUUGUGGUUGCUAGUGAGGUUCACAAAUCCUUGGAAGGCCACAGGCAGGAGUUCACAUUUAUGAUUGGAGAUGCUCAUGAUGAAGUUAUUUUUUAGAAUGGGGAAUUUAUUAGCUACUAAGUUCACGUUUAUUAUUUCCAUUUUUGUUUUAAUAUUUCUCUAAAUUAAUGUCUUAUUUCAAUAGUUUGAGCUUUUUGGAGAAUUUUUUUUUGUAUUCACUGCUAUAUAUUUUAAGUCUUUGU
Molecule: long non-coding RNA, 965 nt
Organism: Dendrobium catenatum
Lineage: Eukaryota; Viridiplantae; Streptophyta; Magnoliopsida; Asparagales; Orchidaceae
Exons: 3
Source: RefSeq, a predicted model, not a curated record